UUGAACGCUGGCGGCAUGCCUUACACAUGCAAGUCGAACGGUAACGGGCCUUCGGGUGCCGACGAGUGGCGAACGGGUGAGUAAUACAUCGGAACGUGCCCGAUCGUGGGGGAUAACGAGGCGAAAGCUUUGCUAAUACCGCAUACGAUCUACGGAUGAAAGCAGGGGACCGCAAGGCCUUGCGCGGACGGAGCGGCCGAUGGCAGAUUAGGUAGUUGGUGGGAUAAAAGCUUACCAAGCCGACGAUCUGUAGCUGGUCUGAGAGGAUGAUCAGCCACACUGGGACUGAGACACGGCCCAGACUCCUACGGGAGGCAGCAGUGGGGAAUUUUGGACAAUGGGCGCAAGCCUGAUCCAGCCAUGCCGCGUGCAGGAUGAAGGCCUUCGGGUCGUAAACUGCUUUUGUACGGAACGAAAAGCCUUCUUUUAAUACAGGAGGGUCAUGACGGUACCGUAAGAAUAAGCUCCGGCUAACUACGUG
This 481-nucleotide ribosomal RNA is filed under the name uncultured bacterium. RNAcentral's name for it is "partial 16S ribosomal RNA". It matches the Rfam family "Bacterial small subunit ribosomal RNA", at positions 30 to 507 of the family's 1533-position model. The record is from RNAcentral.